Long non-coding RNA from Centropristis striata (black sea bass), 872 nucleotides. RefSeq lists it as uncharacterized. NCBI's taxonomy places the organism in Eukaryota, Metazoa, Chordata, Actinopteri, Perciformes, Serranidae. The record is from RefSeq and is a predicted model, not a curated record. The transcript has 3 exons.
CUGUGUCACGGAGUUUCCCGACGGGCAGAAAUCUGAACUUGUUGCUAGGUCCCUUGAGUCACUCAGCAGCAGUAGAUGACCUACAGGAACAGCUCCACUCUGCCUCCAACUCAAGCUGUACAGAGGGGAGCAGGGUCGUCCAAGGGAGAGAGCAGAGGGACGUGGGAGCGCCUCCAGCCUCCCAGACCAGCCACUGAACUAUAUGCAUCUCCCCCAUAUUCUCCACUUUUUCUCACACCUUUUUUUUACUUUCUUGUCUUCUCUUUCACCAUCUCCUGUUAGCAUCCUCUCCAUCUCUUUGCUCCCUGCCCUAUAUUUCACACAUGUGCUUAAUUGUAAUUGUUUUAUCGUGCGGCUGUUUGUCCCGUGGCUGUAUUCAUUAAGAGCAGACGCACACAAACAACCGCUUAGGAGGGAGAAAGAAAAGAAAGGAAAGAGGGUGGGGAAUUACCAGACGGACAAAUACGUUCAAGACGCACAUAUUCUCUGAGUGAUGGAUGCUAACACACCCACGAAACUGCACUAAUCCGGCUAACGUAAUACAAACAUGAACACAAAAACACAACAUCCAAGUGAUGAGCACAUAGUGGACGCUCGCUCACAGAUGUGGAUACGUGACCUGCUUCUUUCUUUUAUGGGAAAGUAGGUCCUGCUGCAACAGUAUGCAAAUAAGUCAAUAACAUGCAUGGUCACGAAACACAAGAGCAUGCAGACACAAGACUGUGCACACUGAGAGGAGACAAUGAAACACUCAUGCAGCAUCCUGGGAAUCGAAACAUGACGCACUGCGUGUAGAAGAGUCCCCCUUUCCUCUUCUUCUUCUUCAUUGCCACCAUGUGUGCACAAACAUCUUGUGAUAUAUUGUCAGUCUC